Molecule: non-coding RNA, 520 nt
Organism: Nerophis lumbriciformis (worm pipefish)
Lineage: Eukaryota; Metazoa; Chordata; Actinopteri; Syngnathiformes; Syngnathidae
Source: RefSeq, a predicted model, not a curated record
CUGAGAUAGAUGAUGAUGUUUUGGAGGAAAUUGUGAAGGAUCCAUCCACUGGGGUACUAACCAUCAAAUACGAAACAGAAUCUGUCUCCAAAGUCCCAAUCAUCCGUUUGUUCAUGGGACUCAGACACAAUCAUCCUUGAAGACACUCCUACCAGAAAGCGUGAGAGGCUGGACUCUGAAGCUGUGCAACUGGUGAAAUCCAUUCUUACCAAGAAAUCGGGUGGAGAAUAUAUAAUAAUUGAAUACAACCGAACUAAGUCCUUGACAGAUGAGAGCAGAAGAAAAUUGGUGAAUAUACUGGCAGCUGAGAUGACGGAGAAGAAUGGUACAUCUCCAUCUAGACAGGUGAAGGAAAUGUAUGCACAAGGAAUUGUGAACUUGUUCCCCAACCUCAGAGACCCAUUUUCCAAGAAUGGCUAUGAACAUUUUUAUGAUAGCAACAGUGGUACUGGGUACUUGUCCUGGAGAAUUACAACUAUUCAGAGAUGCAGUGCUAAAGAAAGGCGAUCAUCAUUUGGAG